UUGUCCUUCUCCUUGGGCGGACGCAGGUGUUGCCCGGCUUUCUCUUUUCGCAUCCGCCCUCGAAGGGAACCGCCGCAUAAAAGGACACGCGCGUAAGGCGAAGGCAGGCCUAGCCACAUAGAGUCCAGCUCCACCCGAGGACACGGGGAUCUCUUUGGGGGUCUCAUACCUAUAUUUAACAAUAAACCAUCUCACUUCUCGUUCCUCGCCUACGCCUGUUACCGAUCCACGCUCUCUAUCGUCAAAGUCGAAGUGCCUCUUCCCGUAGUUCUCAGCCAUCACUACCAAGCCUCAUUUUAAUCCACGCCUACUCGCAACAUGUCUGCCCUACUAGAGCCAUGGAGUCGCAGUAUAUCUACCACCACCACCAAUACUUCCUCGUUACUAUUAAAAAUUAAGAUUACCUAUCAGUACCAGAUUAACUAUUACUCUCCCUAUAUCCACCCAUACAUCGCAUAAAAGUUGCCUUCUUUCAAAUUCAAGUACACGCCACUCAACGAAUACACAAUACUAACUCUAUACUACAUAACUUCAACCAUUGUUUUAUUCAACAAAGAACGGUCACCCACUGAGAUCAAACCUAAGUGACACACACCCUCACCUCACACCUCAUUCUCCAGCCCCGACCAUCCCGUAAUGGAUGAAUUGUGGGUUUUUUUUCGUCCAUUAUCAUUUAUCGUCAGAUCGCACAGAUUGUGUGUAUUAUUUCUCUCACAACAAAUGAUUGCCUUUGAGUUUAAUUAUUGUUAUAUUCGGUUGUUCUCAUCAUAUUAUUCAUGUUUAUUUUUUCGAAUUCAUAAAUUUUCCUAUUUUUUUCAUUGUAUGCUAUACCCAUUAGUAAUUAUUUAUUACUACUUGCAAAUUGUUAUAUUCUGUGUAUACACCUAUAUCGGUGUGUUUAUUUAUGAUAUCCCUAUUUCUUUAUACUUUGCCGUGCCAAUCGGCCGCUCAUUCACACAAAUUUAGAAAACCUGACUAACCUCUAAUCUACCUACCUACCUACGCUACACGGAUUUCACUCUAGGAUUAUGAAUUUUACUAAGUGCCAUCCCUUUGACUUAUAAUUAAACCCAAAUUAGUUUCAUGACGUUCUCUCGCAGUACGAUAUCUUGUUCUCAGUAAUGUUGGAAUUUAUGCUUCUUUAGUUUUUGGGUAUUGGUUAAUAUUUACCAUGUAACUAACUGAUGGUACUCUCUUUUGUUGCAAAUAAUUGUAACGCACUACAGACACCAUACUUUAUAGGCUUACAUAGUUAUCAUUACCGCAAGUUAGUUUUAAGCCCGACUCAUGGCCGUAAACGAAGGAAUCCUGCGCCCGCCGCACACUUGCGCUCAUACGAUUGAAGCGCCGGGACGCGCUGCCUUUGUGUUCGAAGCAUUUAUCUUAUCAAGUACCAUCUCCGGUUCGGAGGUUGACAACCAGUUCCUGGUUGCAGAAAGAGGGUAAUAUAUGAAGCAGGCCCCAAGAACUACUCCACCCGCAGAACAGCAACCAAAGUCAGGAUAAAUGACCUUUCUACUGUCAUCCUUGGAUCUACCGUUGACCAUGGCUCUUCCGCCAGUUCUAGCUCUUUUACUGGCCUGGUACACUGAUAUUUCAGCUUCCGAAGACGAUUGACCCUCCUCGCUAUUGAAUAUUGAAUAUUCCUCCGCCACGCCCGCUUCCCUGGCACGCGACGAUCCUUGCGAUCAUCAAGAACCAUCUGUAGAUACCGAACAGAACCGUAUCUCUAUGCGUUACUGCAGUGUUUCAAGAGUUGCAGAUGGCACGAGGCCGAGCCUUGCGCGUGGCCGAGCGAUGUCAACAAUUCGUAGCAAGACAGGAUGGCACACUUCACACCUCUGUCCAGCAGCCGCCCUUCUCCUUGGAAGGACGCAGGUGUCGCCCGGCUUUCUCAUUUCCCACGGGAAUAAACAGCCGCCCGAAGAGAACCGCCGCCUAAAAGGACACGUUCGUAAGACAGGAAGGGAGAGACUCGGCAGACAGGGUCCAGCUCCACCAGCUCGUCCUCCACCCGGGGACGCGGGGUCUCUUGGGGGGUCUCAUAUCUAUCUUCAAAAAUAAACCAGCAAUCUAA
This 2077-nucleotide long non-coding RNA is filed under the name Penaeus chinensis. RNAcentral describes it as "uncharacterized LOC125035353". The record is from RNAcentral. Lineage: Eukaryota; Metazoa; Arthropoda; Malacostraca; Decapoda; Penaeidae.